CUUUGAGCUUUUUAUAGGGUGACCUCUAACACAGGGCUCCUUCUUUUUAAGGACUGAGAAUAACUCAAACCUUCAACUGUGUCAACCACAUGGCGGCAAACAGACUUCUGUGAUGAAUAACCCAGGAAAGAAAAGAAGGUUUGAAGCACUCAGAAAGGACGGAUGGAAACUAAGUGGACCAAGACAGGAAGAACACUGGGAGGUAAAAUGGCUGUCACACGAACAACAGCAGAACCACUUUCCAGAAGCAAAAUGAGGAUCAGUGAACAUCAAGGAAAUUUCAUUCUCUCAUAAAAACAGAUUAAGUCAAGCGGAUGGGCCCCUUCAGCAAACAAAGAUGCUUGCCUCCACCAAGCCUGAAGAUCCAAGUUUCAUCCACAGGACCCUC
Long non-coding RNA from Onychomys torridus (southern grasshopper mouse), 388 nucleotides. RefSeq lists it as uncharacterized. The transcript is spliced from 3 exons. Lineage: Eukaryota; Metazoa; Chordata; Mammalia; Rodentia; Cricetidae. The record is from RefSeq and is a predicted model, not a curated record.